AACCUGUUUUUUUUUUUUUUUUUUAUGGCAUUUUAUUCCAGAAAAAUGUUUUUGUAGGAAUCUAUGUACACUCUGACACCAAUUUAUGAAGUCACUUUCAAACAUUCCUGUCCAUUUGUUUUGUUUCCUUGAGGUACAUGAUCCAUGUUUUAAGGUUGCUGUUACUAACUUCCCAUCAGGCACCAUACAUUUUUUUUUUUUAAAUUCUAGGAAUUUCAUUUUCAGUCUUAUUUUUUUUUUUGGACUGGUUUCAUUUAAAUAGACAACAGUUGUUUUUGUGGUGUAUGACAUUGGUUGAAUGUAAUGUGCACAAUUUUUGUGUCAACAGCUUUAUCUGUUACGAUUCUGUUGUUGUUUUUUUUUCCCCCUUAUGUAAACUGUGGUAUCAUCAAGGCCAUAAUAAAAAAUAAAAAAAAGGUCGAAAGGUUAUGCCAUAUAUUUUUGUUACAAAACUUUUUUAAAAAUUUGGUCGUGGUUCUGAGUCACGAGUGUCGCUUGCUGCUUUACAACUGAAUAAGGGACCAGACUGUACAAACAAUUAUUAUAUAUAAUUACCUUUUUCUUUUUAAAAUAAAAGUACAUAUCCUAAAUAAAAAUACUGGACUGUCAAAUACAUCUAAUUAAGCUUAUGUUUUCUUUUUGACAAUAUGUUUUUAUUUGAAAUGUAAAAUGUUAUUUUACACACACAAAGCCCCCCCCCCCCCCUCCCU
This is a non-coding RNA of Biomphalaria pfeifferi, 710 nucleotides long. NCBI's taxonomy places the organism in Eukaryota, Metazoa, Mollusca, Gastropoda, Planorbidae. The record is from the annotation of a GenBank genome assembly.